GCGAACGUUGGCGGCAGGCCUAACACAUGCAAGUCGAGCGGCCGUAGCAAUACGGCAGCGGCAGACGGGAUAGUAACACGUGGGAACGUGCCCUUUGGUUCGGAAUAACUCGGCGAAAGCCGUGCUAAUACCGGAUAAGCCCUUACGGGGAAAGAUUUAUCGCCAUUGGAGCGGCCCGCGUCUGAUUAGCUAGUUGGUGAGGUAAUGGCUCACCAAGGCGACGAUCAGUAGCUGGUCUGAGAGGAUGACCAGCCACAUUGGGACUGAGACACGGCCCAAACUCCUACGGGAGGCAGCAGUGGGGAAUCUUGCGCAAUGGGCGAAAGCCUGACGCAGCCAUGCCGCGUGGAUGAUGAAGGUCUUAGGAUUGUAAAAUCCUUUCAGCGGGGACGAUAAUGACGGUACCCGCAGAAGAAGCCCCGGCUAACUUCGU
RNAcentral lists this ribosomal RNA (433 nucleotides) under uncultured bacterium. RNAcentral describes it as "bacterial SSU rRNA". It matches the Rfam family "Bacterial small subunit ribosomal RNA", at positions 29 to 506 of the family's 1533-position model. The record is from RNAcentral.